RNAcentral lists this ribosomal RNA (391 nucleotides) under uncultured bacterium. Its description in RNAcentral is "bacterial SSU rRNA". It matches the Rfam family "Bacterial small subunit ribosomal RNA", at positions 527 to 896 of the family's 1533-position model. The record is from RNAcentral.
GGAGGGUGCGAGCGUUGUCCGGAAUCACUGGGCGUAAAGGGCGCGUAGGUGGCUUUUCAAGCGCGCGGUGAAAGCCCGGGGCUCAACCCCGGGUCUGCCGUGCGGACUGGGAGGCUCGAGCACUGUAGGGGCGGGUGGAAUUCCGGGUGUAGCGGUGGAAUGCGUAGAGAUCCGGAAGAACACCGGUGGCGAAGGCGGCCCGCUGGGCAGGAAGACGGGCGCAAGCCCGUCGGCUGACACUGAGGCGCGACAGCGUGGGGAGCAAACAGGAUUAGAUACCCUGGUAGUCCACGCCGUAAACGAUGGGCACUAGGUGCCUGGGGGAGCGACCCCCCGGGUGCCGGCGCUAACGCAUUAAGUGCCCCGCCUGGGGAGUACGGCCGCCUUUCUG